CAACCUUGCACUCACUGCUUACCCGGAGCGUGUGAACAUCAGAACCUCUUCCUAUCACAGCUGCUGUGCCUUGGUGCUGUGCCCCUGCACAACAUCCUGAGAUGGUGAAGACUGAGCUCAACAUAUGUCUUCCUCUGCAAGUGACUCAUGUCGCUGCUACUUCCUAGACCUGUACCCAGACAGGAUGGCAACCAUCCUUCUUGGUCUUUUCUCUGACAUGAUCACGUUCCUUAUGUUUUAUUUCCCUCUGAACACUCUCGUCACCAUGUCAUCAUUUGUUUAUUCCCCCCACUUUUGACACUGGGAGGACAGGCACCA
RNAcentral lists this long non-coding RNA (318 nucleotides) under Gallus gallus (chicken). RNAcentral describes it as "long non-coding RNA NONGGAT003646". The record is from RNAcentral. Lineage: Eukaryota; Metazoa; Chordata; Aves; Galliformes; Phasianidae.